CUCUUAGUGUAUAUAAUCUAACUAUAGAAGGUUAUUUACUAUCUGCAAAUUUGCCUUUUCCAUUGCUGAUCAUGUCCUCUCUGUGCACUUACAUCCUUAUGUUAAGAGUGUAGUGAUCUAAUGAUUAUUCAGAAGGGAUGUGCAUGUUCCUAGAUGCAUAGCUUUUCUUAUGUACUCCCUUUGUUCCUAAAUAUUUAUCUUUUUAGAUAUUUCAAAUGGACUACCACAUACGGAUGUAUAUAGUCAUAUUUUAGAGUGAAGAUUCACUCAUUUUGCUCCGUAUAUAGUCACUUGUUGAAAUCUCUAGAAAGACAAAUAUUUAGGAACGGAGGGAGUAGAUUUUCAUUACACUGAGAUUUUUUUUAAGGGAUAACAAUGGUAUUUAAGAUAGUUUUUUUGUAGUUAUUUUGUAGAAUUCUCAAACUGAAAUCCAAACAAAGCAUACCUUCAAAGGCCAUCAUAAUGGCACUUAAAAUAAAUGCUAAUCUGCAUUCAUGCGGCAAUCUGGUGCCCAUUCUUCUGGUGAUUUGGUCAAAGCUACAACCAAGCAAAGAUAUUUUACAUGCUAUAAGAACUAAGUUAUGGAUUUUUGUGUUCCCAGGUCUAUAAUAUGCGUGCUCUCCUGGUUCCCUGCAAGCUCUUUUGGCCAUGACCUCAAGUUCUGCAGCUAGGCCGUGAAUGUGUUGGUCCUUCUCACCGUCCACUGAUGAUGGUGCCCAAGAGAAGUCAGGGAAGGAGAAAAGGAUGUUGCUAUCGCGUGGUCGUCGGAACAACUUGCCAUGGACACAGCCAUGCACUGGAUGCCAUCGACAGCUAGUCGUGGAUGAGCACCUCGCCGCCUCUGCAAAAUAUGGAUGCACGGGAUUCUGCUACUAACAUUGGGGAGUGUGUACUGUUGCGGUGCUGUGACAUAUACACUCUAUGGAAGAAACCCCUGUUUGAUUUACAGGGGAUGCUGAUUUGGAAUCUACUUUUGACAGAUCAAUCUGGUUUGUUGGCUGCUGGGUGGCUUCAUGUGACGCCGCAGUGCACUAGGGAGAGGGUUCAUGAUUGGCAAUUGGUCGUGGGCAAUGGAACUAAAAUGUCUACUGAAUGUUCAUGGAUAUCUUAAAAGGAGAACAAUUCAUACUUUAGAUGUACAUCAUAUUUGAUGCAUCAGUCUAAUCUGUAGUUCAAAUUACA
This is a non-coding RNA of Triticum urartu, 1182 nucleotides long. Lineage: Eukaryota; Viridiplantae; Streptophyta; Magnoliopsida; Poales; Poaceae. The record is from RefSeq and is a predicted model, not a curated record.